RNAcentral lists this ribosomal RNA (253 nucleotides) under uncultured prokaryote. RNAcentral's name for it is "partial 16S ribosomal RNA". It matches the Rfam family "Bacterial small subunit ribosomal RNA", at positions 525 to 777 of the family's 1533-position model. The record is from RNAcentral.
ACAGAGGUCCCAAGCGUUGUUCGGAUUCACUGGGCGUAAAGGGUGCGUAGGUGGUGGGGUAAGUUAGAGGUGAAAGCCCAGGGCUCAACCCUGGAAUUGCCUUUAAGACUGCAUCGCUUGAACAUCGGAGAGGUAAGUGGAAUUCCGAGUGUAGAGGUGAAAUUCGUAGAUAUUCGGAAGAACACCAGUGGCGAAGGCGACUUACUGGACGAUUGUUGACGCUGAGGUGUGAAAGCGUGGGGAGCAAACAGGA